CUGACUGUAGCCAUAUGACUCAAAAGUGCUCAAAGAAAUCCAAUGACAGAUCAACCAGUGAGAUUUGAUCCCUCCAUGGAAAAGUAAAAAGACCUUCCUAAAAGCUUCUAUCGAGUUGUAGAAGUUGGAUCC
This 132-nucleotide long non-coding RNA is filed under the name Mustela putorius furo (domestic ferret). RNAcentral describes it as "lncRNA (ENSMPUG00000027073.1)". The record is from RNAcentral. Lineage: Eukaryota; Metazoa; Chordata; Mammalia; Carnivora; Mustelidae.